This 199-nucleotide ribosomal RNA is filed under the name uncultured bacterium. RNAcentral describes it as "partial 16S ribosomal RNA". It matches the Rfam family "Bacterial small subunit ribosomal RNA", at positions 1294 to 1500 of the family's 1533-position model. The record is from RNAcentral.
CGGAUCGGAGUCUGCAACCCGGCUCCGUGAAGCUGGAUUCGCUAGUAAUCGCGCAUCAGCCAUGGCGCGGUGAAUACGUUCCCGGGCCUUGUACACACCGCCCGUCAAGCCAUGGGAGCCGGGGGUGCUUGAAGUGCGUCGCCGCAAGGCGCGCCCUAGAGCAAAACCGGUGACUGGGGCUAAGUCGUAACAAGGUACC